RNAcentral lists this ribosomal RNA (253 nucleotides) under uncultured bacterium. RNAcentral's name for it is "partial 16S ribosomal RNA". It matches the Rfam family "Bacterial small subunit ribosomal RNA", at positions 524 to 776 of the family's 1533-position model. The record is from RNAcentral.
UACGUAGGCAGCGAGCGUUGUUCGGAGUUAUUGGGCGUAAAGGGCUCGUAGGCGGUCUGUCGCGUCGGGGAGUGAAAACUCAGGGCUUAACCCUGAGCCUGCUUCCGAUACGGGCAGACUAGAGGUAUGCAGGGGAGAACGGAAUUCCUGGUGUAGCGGUGAAAUGCGCAGAUAUCAGGAGGAACACCGGUGGCGAAGGCGGUUCUCUGGGCAUUACCUGACGUGAGGAGCGAAAGUGUGGGGAGCGAACAGG